RNAcentral lists this long non-coding RNA (1594 nucleotides) under Trifolium pratense (red clover). Its description in RNAcentral is "long non-coding RNA (TPRA_LNC004002)". The record is from RNAcentral. Lineage: Eukaryota; Viridiplantae; Streptophyta; Magnoliopsida; Fabales; Fabaceae.
UUCACUAAAAAUAUUUCUAAACAUAAAGAAGACGCCAUUUACUAAUUAGGAACUUGAGUGUACUAGCCUUUUUGAAUCUAACAAUAUUGGGAUGCUUUAGUGAUCAAUUGUUUGUGUUUUCCUCUUUACAUGUUUAUAAAUCUGCAUACACACAUCUCAUACUAGGAAGUUAAUAGUCAAUCAAUUCAGUACUUACACAAAUGCAAGUAUACAUAAUAAUCAGUUGAAAGAUACAAUCAAGGAAAAGUGACUUACACAAAUGGAACCGAGAAAUACUACUUUCUUUCACUGUGUACCUAAUCAGAGAUAUAAAUCACAAACAAAAAAAAACUUAGCAUAUAACACAAACCUAAAUAAUUAAUGUGAAUAAAAGACAGUAUUUGAAAAUUGCAAAAACAGAUAAUUAGAUUUAAGUCAUAAAAAUCUAAUUCACAAAUCAACCUAGCCUAAGUAAGUCUUGGUUAUUUUAUUAGUAUUCUUAUGUUAAAUUAGAUUGAUUCAAAUAGUUCAUCACUAAUUGUUACCUAAAUUGUUUUUGAUAAAUUUGUUUCUGAGUUUAAAUCGCACCACAUCAGACUUACAAAGAAAAUUGAUGGAGAACAACAAUUCAUACCUAAUAUACCAAUAGUUCAUAUCAAGAAGCAAAUGUGUAUCAAGAAGCAAAUGUGCAGAAACUAAGUCAGGUGAGUCAAAUCUAAAUAUUACAAAAUCNNNNNNNNNNNNNNNNNNNNNNNNNNNNNNNNNNNNNNNNNNNNNNNNNNNNNNNNNGAAUUCAUUUAAUCAAUGCAUUAUUAGAGUCUCCAAAACAAAGAUGAAUUCAUAUAAACUAAUAAGUCAAGAGAAUGAAGCUAUCUGUCAUCCACAAAACCUGAAAUGCACAUCUAACUGCCACUGCUUGCUCUGAACCCUGCCAUGAAAGAAAAAAGGAAAAAAAUUAAAACUGAACAGCAGCAAAAAAUAAAACAAAACAAAUUUAAGAAAGGAGAUGGGAAAGGCUACAAUCACCGGAGAAAACCCAAUUAACUAUGUCUAAAAAGUUCCCUCGAUCAACCACUGAAGCCACCUAAUAAAACAACCAAAACCAACAACAACUUCCAUUAAAUUCCAAAUCAAAAUGUGUAACAUCAAGCAUAAUAAAUCUAAAACACGUGAAUGUCAAGCCUGAAUAAAAUAAAUGUUUGAAGAAACAUGUCAAAAGGAAACAAAAAAAACUCAAAAAAAAAAAGAAAAGGUGUGAGGCCGUAAGCUCACAGAGACAAAAUGAGAGAACGAAAGAGAAGGUUCGAUACUUGUCGGAGACAGAACAAGAGAAGCUAUAAGUCGAUUUGGAAAGAGAUUUAUGGAUUAGGGAUUGGAACGAUGAACGAAUUAGGGGUUUCGAUUUGGAGUAUUUGAAAUUUAUUAGGGAUUUCUUCUACUUAGGGAUUUGGAACGAUGACCAAAUUAGGCACUUGUGGUUGCAUCAAUUCCAUAGAUCCAUGGAUGAAGAGAUGAGUUAGGCUAGGGUUUUACAUUUUGGAACGAUGGAACUGUUUUGCGUUUUUGGAGUUUAAGUGUAGUGUUUGAUUAGUUAUGUGAUGGGGUUCUAUUUUUU